UACGUAGGUGUCAAGCGUUGUCCGGAUUUAUUGGGCGUAAAGCGCCCGCAGGCGGCUUGCCAAGUUCGAUGUGAAAUCUCCCGGCUCAACUGGGAGGGUGCAUCGAAAACUGGCAGGCUUGAGGCAGGGAGAGGGAUGUGGAAUUCCAGGUGUAGUGGUGAAAUGCGUAGAUAUCUGGAGGAACCCCAGUGGCGAAGGGGGCAUCCUGGCCCUGUCCUGGCGCUCAGGGGCGAAAGCGUGGGGAGCAAACCGG
Molecule: ribosomal RNA, 253 nt
Filed under: uncultured bacterium
Lineage: Bacteria
Description: partial 16S ribosomal RNA
Rfam family: Bacterial small subunit ribosomal RNA
Source: RNAcentral